Ribosomal RNA from Gasterosteus aculeatus aculeatus (three-spined stickleback), 108 nucleotides. The record is from Ensembl. NCBI's taxonomy places the organism in Eukaryota, Metazoa, Chordata, Actinopteri, Perciformes, Gasterosteidae.
GCUUACGGCCAUACCUCUCUGGCUCUGCCUGAUCUCAGAAGCUAAGCAGAGUAGGGCCUGGUUAGUACUUGGAUGGAAGGCCGCCUGGGAAUCCCAGGUGCGUAAGCU